Papaver somniferum (opium poppy) is the source of this 623-nucleotide long non-coding RNA. RefSeq lists it as uncharacterized. The record is from RefSeq and is a predicted model, not a curated record. Lineage: Eukaryota; Viridiplantae; Streptophyta; Magnoliopsida; Ranunculales; Papaveraceae. The transcript has 2 exons.
AAGAUAAAGUUCAAAUUUACAAAGUCCUUGCUUCCACCUUCACCAUUAGAGUUCCUGGAGCUCUAUACGAGCACACCUGUGCUCGUAUAUCUCCGAAAAUAUAGUUCAACGUCAAGAUUAUAAGAAUUUCUAACAUGGUAUCAGAGCGAGUUCGAUCCAAAUGGGCGCUAAAGUUUCCGCUACAAGCUGAAGGUGAUAAUUCCACACAAUAGAUGACGCAAGGAGAUGCACCAAAGAGUGCAUUUCUAAAGAAAAUUUGAGGGAAGAGCAUCAAAGAAAUGCCUCCUCAAAUAACAGAGAUGGCAAAAGUGAGAGUCAUCCUGUAAAAAUAUUCUACUCAUAAAGUUGAGUGGGCGGAACCUCUGAACCUACGAUGGUCAAGUUUUGUGAAAGGCGAGGAAUAUCAACAGAAGGCAAAGCCUCUGAAUUUAAGACUGUCAAGUUCGAUCUAAACCAUGAAGGAGAAGGAGAUAAUUGACACAAGACAGAGGCUCUGAAUCUACAAGGAACAGGCUGCGAAAAUGCCAGGUCAACAAAGAAGAUCUAAAACAGGAUAUGGAGACACUACGAAGGCGAGCUGGUUUCAAUGUGACGACAAGUCCGAAAUGAAUACACUACGAGCA